ACKGCUCAGUAACACGUGGCCAAUUCACCCUUGGGACAGAGACAACCCCGGGAAACUGGGGCUAAUCCCUGAUAAGCGACGAAACCUGGAAUGGUUCACCACCCAAAAGCCUCCUAACCACGCUUAGAAGGCGCCCAAGGACAAAGCCGCGACCGAUCAGGCUGUUGGUAGGGCAACGGCCUACCAAACCCAUAACCGGUACGGGCCGUGAGAGCGGAAGCCCGGAGAUGGAUACUGAGACAAGGAUCCAGGCCCUACGGGGCGCAGCAGUUGCGAAAACUCCACAAUGCACGAAAGUGCGAUGGGGCUACCCCGAGUGCCGUCCGCUGAGGAUGGCUUUUCUCUGCUGUAAGGAGGCAGAGGAAUAAGGAGAGGGCAAGUCUGGUGUCAGCCGCCGCGGUAAUACCGGCUCUCCGAGUGGUAGGGAUGAUUAUUGGGCUUAAAGCGUCCGUAGCCGGCUUGACAAGUCUUCUGUUAAAUCCAGCAACCCAAUUGUUGGACUGCGGAAGAUACUGCCUAGCUAGAGAACGGGAGAGGUCGACGGUACUCUCAGGGUAGGAGUGAAAUCCUAUAAUCCUGGGAGGACCACCAGUGGCGUAGGCUGUCGACUAGAACGUGUCUGACGGUGAGGGACGAAAGCUUGGGGAGCGAACCGGAUUAGAUACCCGGGUAGUCCAAGCUGUAAACGAUGCGGGCUAGGUGUUGGGGUGGCUACGUGCCACUUCAGUGCCGCAGGGAAGCCGUUAAGCCCGCCGCCUGGGGAGUACGGUCGCAAGGCUGAAACUUAAAGGAAUUGGCGGGGGAGCAC
Molecule: ribosomal RNA, 808 nt
Filed under: uncultured Sulfolobales archaeon
Lineage: Archaea; Thermoproteati; Thermoproteota; Thermoprotei; Sulfolobales
Description: bacterial SSU rRNA
Rfam family: Archaeal small subunit ribosomal RNA
Source: RNAcentral